AUGUUAUAUUUGCCCCCGAUUGUAUAAAAUACAACAUAUAUAAACAAAUACAAAAUUGUGUACAAUUUGUAAGAUUGAUAUUUUAAAACAGUCGAGAAUAAAAUUCAACAAACACUUCUAAUUCGUAGAUGUAUUGACGAAUAUGGAUGGCAAAUAAAAAUAAAGAGAUGGACAAAUAAAAAUAAAGAGAGGAAUUAAAUAGUAGAUGAUUGGGUUGUGUUUAUUCGAAAAGUAGAAUAAAAUUUCCUAAAGGGAAUUUGUG
RNAcentral lists this long non-coding RNA (262 nucleotides) under Solanum tuberosum (potato). RNAcentral describes it as "long non-coding RNA (STUB_LNC004624)". The record is from RNAcentral. Lineage: Eukaryota; Viridiplantae; Streptophyta; Magnoliopsida; Solanales; Solanaceae.